CACAGUGAAUCCUUGGAUUUGUCUGAGCCUGUUGCAUCUGGGAGAGCUUUUCCAACACCAGCAGCCUGUCUUCUUUCCUGUCUCUGCCCCGCCGCCCCAGAAGGAAAAGCAGACGGGGAGCGUGGAGAGUCGGAGAGCAGGUGCCGUGGGAAAUUAGCUGACCGUCACCCAGAUGGAUGACUAUGAAAGUGCUUCGGACACCGUGUCAGCCUACGGGCCUCGCCGCCUGUAGUUAAGGAUAAAGAAUGUCUCCGGGAGUGAGAGCUGAUGCGUCCUGCAGGCUGUGAGAACUCAGGAUCCUGGCCCCAAUAGUGGAAGUGCAUUUCAAAGGAAUGGUUUCAGGGAGCCCAGGCCUCUUUUGUUCCUGCUCCCUGCCCUUUGUUGCAAAAACUCCAACAUAUCCUAGCUCAGCGCCUUGAGCAGUUUCUCAGGGCUACCUGCGAUCUGUCUCCUGUGCUGAAGUCCUCAUUUUGUCCCAAAUAAAACAUAACUCUCAACUUUCA
Molecule: long non-coding RNA, 503 nt
Organism: Phacochoerus africanus (Common warthog)
Lineage: Eukaryota; Metazoa; Chordata; Mammalia; Artiodactyla; Suidae
Exons: 2
Source: RefSeq, a predicted model, not a curated record